Molecule: ribosomal RNA, 492 nt
Filed under: uncultured bacterium
Lineage: Bacteria
Description: partial 16S ribosomal RNA
Rfam family: Bacterial small subunit ribosomal RNA
Source: RNAcentral
AGUGAACGCUGGCGGUAUGCCUAACACAUGCAAGUCGAACGGCAGCACCUUCAGAGCUUUCUCUUACGGGUGGCGAGUGGCGGCCGGGUGAGGAAUACAUCGUAAUCUACUUUUUCGCGGCGGGUAACGUAGGGAAACUUACGGUAAUACCUCAUACGACGUACGGCUGGAAGCAGCGGAUCUUGGGACCUUGCGCGAUUGAGUGAGCCGAUGUCGGCUUAGCUAGGUGGCGGGGUAAAGGCCCACCAAGGCGACGAUCCGUAGCCGGUCUGAGAGGAUGAUCAGCCACACUGGAACUGAGACACGGUCCAGACUCCUACGGGAGGCAGCAGUGGGGAAUAUUGGACAAUGGGCGAAAGCCUGAUCCAGCAAUACCGCGUGGGUGAAGAAGGCCUUCGGGUUGUAAAGCCCUUUUGUUGGGAAAGAAAAGCAGCAGGUUAAUACCCCGCUGUUCUGACGGUACCCAAAGAAUAAGCACCGGCUAACUUCGUG